AAAUUGAAGAGUUUGAUCAUGGCUCAGAUUGAACGCUGGCGGCAGGCCUAACACAUGCAAGUCGAACGGUAACAGGAAGCAGCUUGCUGCUUCGCUGACGAGUGGCGGACGGGUGAGUAAUGUCUGGGAAACUGCCUGAUGGAGGGGGAUAACUACUGGAAACGGUGGCUAAUACCGCAUAA
Molecule: ribosomal RNA, 182 nt
Filed under: Salmonella enterica subsp. enterica serovar Infantis
Lineage: Bacteria; Pseudomonadati; Pseudomonadota; Gammaproteobacteria; Enterobacterales; Enterobacteriaceae
Also listed under: 43 other names
Description: partial 16S ribosomal RNA
Rfam family: Bacterial small subunit ribosomal RNA
Source: RNAcentral